Molecule: ribosomal RNA, 2798 nt
Filed under: Perna canaliculus (greenshell mussel)
Lineage: Eukaryota; Metazoa; Mollusca; Bivalvia; Mytilida; Mytilidae
Description: bacterial LSU rRNA
Rfam family: Bacterial large subunit ribosomal RNA
Source: RNAcentral
AGCGAGUAAGGGUCCAUAGAGGAUGCCUUGGUGCUAUCCGACGAUGAAGGCCGUGGUAAGCUGCGAAAAGCUUGGGCGAGGAGCAAACAUCCUUUGAGUCCGAGAUUGCCGAAUGGGGUAACCCGGCAGCUAUAUUAGCUGUCAUCUCUUAGCUGAACACAUAGGCUUUGAGAAGUGAGACGCAGGGAACUGAACCAUCUAAGUACCUGCAGGAAAAGAAAUCAACCGAGAUUCCCUCAGUAGCGGCGAGCGAAGAGGGAUUAGCCCAAACCAGAGAUGCUUCGGCAUAUUUGGGGUUGUAGGGCUUCCGUUGGAGUUACAAAACGAUCAGCUAGCAGAACACUCUGGAAAGUGUGGCCAAAGUGGGUGAUAGCCCUGUAAGCGAAAGCAGAUCGACUCUUAGGAAGUACCUGAGUACAGCGAGGCACGUGAAACCUUGUUGGAAUCUGGGGGGACCACCCUCCAAGGCUAAAUACGAGAUAGCAACCGAUAGUGUACGAGUACCGUGAGGGAAGUGGUGAAAAGAACCCCGGAAGGGGAGUGAAAUAGAACCUGAAACUAUGGAUCUACAAGCGGUAGGAGCGGUGCACUAGUGUGCUGCGACUGCGUGCCUUUUGCAGAAUGAGCCUGCGAGUUACCCUGCGUAGCGAGGUUAAGGCACAGAAGUGCUGGAGCCGGAGGGAAACCGAGUCUGAAUAGGGCGUUGAGUUGCGUGGGGUAGACCCGAAACUGAGUGAUCUACUCAUGGCCAGAUUGAAGCUUGGGUAAUGCCAAGUGGAGGAUCGAACACUAGUCUGUUAAAAAAGGCAGUGAUGAGCUGUGAGUCGGAGUGAAAGGCUAAUCAAACUCAGAAAUAGCUGGUUCUCCCCGAAAUGGUUUUAGGAUCAGCCUCAUAUGUUUUUCAGCGGAGGUAGAGCACUGGUUAGGCUAGGGCGGGUCAAACUGUACCAAACUUAGUCAAACUCCGAAUGCCGCUGUUUUAUAGUAUGGGAGUGAGACUACGGGUGAUAAGAUUCGUGGUCAAAAGGGAAACAGCCCAGAGCGACAGCUAAGGUCCCUAAACUGUGUUAAGUGGAAAAGGAAGUGUGGUGGCCCAGACAGCCAGGAGGUUGGCUUAGAAGCAGCCAUUCCUUGAAAGAGUGCGUAAUAGCUCACUGGUCGAGUCGUCAUGCGCCGAUAAUGUAACGGGGCUAAACACAGUACCGAAGCUUCGCCUGUCGUAUUUAUACGGCGGGGUAGGGGAGUGUUGCGUAAGCCGUAGAAGCAAUGGUGAGAACCUAUGUGGAGGUAUCGCAAGUAAGCAUGCAGGCAUGAGUAACGAAAAAAUAGGUGAGAUACCUAUUCGCCGAAAGCCCGAGGUUUCCUGGGUAAAGUUUGUCUUCCCAGGGUUAGACGGCCCCUAAGGUCAGGCCGAAAGGCGUAGCCGAUGGGAAACUGGUUAAUAUUCCAGUUCUUCUGAUAAUUUCGAUGGAGUGACGCAUUAGGAAAGCUAUAUCGGGGCGUUGGUAGUCCCCGUCCGAAUCACGAGGUGUUGAUAGUUUUAGGCAAAUCCGGAACUUGAGCUGAGUGAGAGGCGAUUGAAGCUACGGCGGAGAGAAGUAUAGGGAUUCACGGUGCCAAGAAAGAGCUUCUAAGGCUAGGUUAUCAGGAACCGUACCGCAAACCGACACAGGUGGGCGAGACUAGUAAUCUAAGGCGUACGGGAGAACUCGCGUUAAGGAACUCGGCAAAUUGCAUACGUAACUUCGGAAAAAGUAUGGCCUAACACAUAAUGGUGAGGUUGCAGAGUCCAAGUGGAAGCGACUGUUUAUCAAAAACACAUGUCUCUGCUAACUCGUAAGAGGAUGUAUAGGGACUGACACCUGCCCGGUGCCGGUAGGUUAAGAGGAGCGGUUAGCGUAAGCGAAGCUGCGAAUUGAAGCCCCGGUAAACGGCGGCAAUAACUAUAAUUGUCCUAAGGUAGCGAAAUUCCUUGUCGGGUAAGUUCCGACCUGCACGAAUGGUGUAACGACUUCCACACUGUCUCAACGCGAGACCCGGUGAAAUUGUAGUAUCGGUGAAGAUACCGAUUACUCGUGGUUAGACGGAAAGACCCCAUGAACCUUUACUGUACCCUGAUAUUGAUAACAUGCUAUUCAUGUGUAGGAUAGGUGGGAGACUAUGAUACUAUGCCGCUAGGUGUAGUGGAGUUGUUGGUGAAAUACCACCCUUGAGUCUUGUGUUAUCUAACGGAUGCCCGCAAACGGGUAUUCGGACAGUGUUUGGUUGGCAGUUUGACUGGGGCGGUCACCUCCUAAAGAGUAACGGAGGUGCGCAAAGGUCACCUUAUCCUGGACGGAAAUCAGGAGUAAAGUGUAAAGGCAGAAGGUGGCUUGACUGCGAGACAGACAUGUCGAGCAGGUACGAAAGUAGGUCUUAGUGAUCUGGCGGUAGCGCGUGGAAGCGCCGUCACUUAACGGAUAAAAGGUACUCUGGGGAUAACAGGCUGAUCCUGCCCAAGCGUUCAUAGCGACGGCAGGGUUUGGCACCUCGAUGUCGGCUCAUCUCAUCCUGGGGCUGUAGCCGGUCCCAAGGGUAUGGCUGUUCGCCAUUUAAAGUGGUACGCGAGCUGGGUUUAGAACGUCGUGAGACAGUUCGGUCCCUAUCUGCCGUGGGCGCUGGAGAACUGAGGGGGGCUGCUCCUAGUACGAGAGGACCGGAGUGGACGAACCUCUGGUGUUCCGGUUGUCACGCCAGUGGCAUUGCCGGGUAGCUAUGUUCGGAAUAGAUAACCGCUGAAAGCAUCUAAGCGGGAAGCC